UAACUUUUGAUGAUUACAAAACAAUUGGAUGCUACUAACAUACUUUGAAGAGUUCAUUUCAGGAUUUGGAACAAAAACCAGACCAAAGACUUGAAGCUAAAACUGGAUCAAGGUUUGACAAAUUACUGAAAUUACUGUCAGACGCACAAAAGGACCAUAUCGGACGGCCGACAACCAUUGAGUAACUUCGGACACAUGAAGAACUCACACUCGGACGUCCGAAGGUAAUGUGUCAAAACAUCUAUGAU
RNAcentral lists this long non-coding RNA (248 nucleotides) under Coffea arabica (coffee). Its description in RNAcentral is "long non-coding RNA (CARA_LNC002887)". The record is from RNAcentral. Lineage: Eukaryota; Viridiplantae; Streptophyta; Magnoliopsida; Gentianales; Rubiaceae.